RNAcentral lists this ribosomal RNA (406 nucleotides) under uncultured bacterium. RNAcentral describes it as "partial 16S ribosomal RNA". It matches the Rfam family "Bacterial small subunit ribosomal RNA", at positions 30 to 526 of the family's 1533-position model. The record is from RNAcentral.
AUUGAACGCUGGCGGCGGGCCUAACACAUGCAAGUCGAACGAGAGGCGGACGGGUGAGUAAUGUCUGGGAAACUGCCUGAUGGAGGGGGAUAACUACUGGAAACGGUAGCUAAUACCGCAUACCAUCGGAUGUGCCCCUAUGGGAUUGGCUAGUAGGGGGGGUAAAGGCUCACCUAGGCGACGAUCCCUAGCUGGUCUGCGAGGAUGACCAGCCACACUGGAACUGAGACACGGCCCAGACUCCUACGGGAGGCAGCAGUGGGGAAUAUUGCACAAUGGGCGAAAGCCUGAUGCAGCCAUGCCGCGUGUAUGAAGAAGGCCUUCGGGUUGUAAAGUACUUUCAGCGGGGAGGCGUUACCCGCAGAAGAAGCACCGGCUAACUCCGUGCCAGCAGCCGCGGUAAUAC